Molecule: long non-coding RNA, 1513 nt
Filed under: Bos mutus (wild yak)
Lineage: Eukaryota; Metazoa; Chordata; Mammalia; Artiodactyla; Bovidae
Description: lncRNA (ENSBMUG00000014140.1)
Source: RNAcentral
CAGACUGGAAUUGCAGGGCUGCUGUUUCCUGUGUGACUCUGAGCCUACAUCCUCCACAGAGAGAUGGGGAUAAGUAGUGAAACCUGCGCAGGCUUGGGGGAAGGUUAACCAGAUGCACAGUCUGCUCAGCACAAGAUUUAGCACGAAGGUUGCUCAAAUGUUUGCUUCCUUGGAUGGACUAGCCCUGGCUGGACGAAGGGAUAACGUGCGAUGAUUGCUGGUCAUCAUCGGAAACCGUCUCAUCUGCAUAUGGACUAUUUGAGAGCCCUCAGAAGCAAGAGCUCACCUGUCUCGUCCAUACCAAAUCCUCAGCAUCUGCACUCCCGAGAAAGUGAAAGUGAAGUCGCUCAGUCGUGUCGGACUCUUUGCGACCCCAUGGACACCAGGCUCCUCCUUCCAUGGGAUUUUCUAGGCAAGAGUACUGGAGUGGGUUGCCUUUUCCUUCUCCAGGGAACUUCCCGACCCUGGGAUCGAACCCAGGUCUCAGGCAUAGACAGACAGUUUACCGUCUGAGCCACCAGGGAAGUCUCUGCACUCCCGAGAAAUACUUGUUAAAUGAAUGAAUGAUUGAAGUCCUUCAUGGUGUCUUCCUAACUGAAAGGAGAGCUUCAUCCUGGGUGAUCCAUGGCAGUUUAUUUACUGCUGUAUGCAGGGCUUUUCCUGGUUGUGGUGGGUCCAUGCAUUGGUGGUCUCCACUGACUUUCAGCCCUCUUCCUCGCAUGUAAAUUCCCGGAUUGGACACAUAACUAACAUGCUUUGGCCAAUGGGAUGGUAGCAGGUGUGCUGGGCACAGAGCCUUGAUAAAAAUUUGAAUGCUGGGGUCUGUCCUCUUAGGACAUUGUCUCUUGAAGUCCUGAGUUACUCUGUAAAGAGGUCUAGCUGCUGUGCUGACAUGGGGCACAAGUGUUCCAGUCAUCCCCUCGUUCCAGCCACCUCAGCUGAAGCCCCAGAAGUCUGAGUGAAGAUGCUCUUUGGAACCUUCCAGCCCGGGAGACACCUGGCAGGGUGGAAGAACCACCCAGCUGAGCCCAGCCCAGAGCGCAGAGCCAGGGGAAGUAUGCAGUCACGUUUUAAACCAGCUUGACAUGCUGACUUCAGCAAGAAGUAGCUGAAAUACCAGUUUACUUUCCAUUUUGAAUGGCUGUGCGAGUCCACAACUCAGAAACCGAGGUGGCAAAGGCUGCAACACGGUUACCUUUGCUUUUGCACUUUGCCCCGCAUCCCACACAAGUUAGUCAAUAGUUCGUUGAGCAGUUUAUUGAACUCUCCAUGCUAAUCUCUGUGCUACUUAAGUGUGUGAUGCAGAGGGUGCUGGUCGUUUUCUCCACAAUCUCAGUGGGUCCAUGCCACGCCUUGUUCCCGACCACACAGCUUGUGCAAGGCUGUGGCAGCUGGGCCUGCAGGGGUGAGCCUCCUGCAGACACUGCAGCCAGGUUACCGCCCUCUCCCUAGGCCUUCCCUCCUGGACCGUUCCCCCCACCACCCCCGCCCAUACCAGCUACUCUCCUAGAGA